Quercus lobata is the source of this 690-nucleotide long non-coding RNA. RefSeq lists it as uncharacterized. The record is from RefSeq and is a predicted model, not a curated record. Lineage: Eukaryota; Viridiplantae; Streptophyta; Magnoliopsida; Fagales; Fagaceae. The transcript has 2 exons.
AAACAUCAACAUAUUUAGGGGUUUUGUAGAAGAAAGAAUCUUGCUCUCACACACUGGAGGCGGAGAUGGAGGUGGAGAGGGAGGCAGAGAGUAGAGGGCAGAGGGCAGAGGCAAAGGCAGAGACGUUCACUUCUUCUCCCCGCCGUCGCACAUCGUCGCUUCUCUAUCUUCCUCAAAAUGGUGAGACCCACAUAUCUUGCUCUCACAAACUGGAGGCAAAGGUGGAGGCGAAGACGGAGGCAGAGAUGCUCACUUCUUCUCCCUGUCGUCGCACAUCGUCGCUUCUCUAUCUUCCUCAAAACGAUCUCUUAAAGCAUGGAAGCUCAAAUUUUGGCUCUGGAAGGCAAUGCUGCUACUAUUAGCACCAAUUCAAGUGGGGUUUUGUUCAAGAUGUACUUCCUCUAGUAGAUAUCAUAAAGCAUAGAUGCUCAAGUGCUGGCUUUGGAAAUUGGAAUGCAAUGCAGCCAAAGCUGCUAUUUGCAAUCAUUUGAUGUAUUUGUUUAUUUUGGGUGUUGAUGUAUAUUUUGGUCACCUAUUGUGUUGUAUACUUACCGUUUCUUUGUAACAAGAGUCUAUAUUAGUCAUAGAAUUAGUCUACUAGAUUUUUUUGUUAAUUAGUUGUUAUAAUAUUAAGUGGAUAUUGUAAAACCAGUUGUGGUUAAUAAAGUUCUAGAAGAUUGUUUUUUUUUU